AAAGAGGCGUGGAAAUUUGGUAAGGAUACGUCCCAUAGGAAAUAAGAAAGGCAAUAAAUAGAAAGGGCGUCGCGAAGGACGGUCAAAGCAGAUAGUAAAUGUUCGUACAAAAUAGUCAGUGUUUUACAGAUUACCCAGAAGGGUAUCGAUAGCCGCGAUUGCCCGACGCCGGAUCUGAUCGGCAGAGUCCAGGACCCGUUGGUCUUCAUCCGCCG
Molecule: long non-coding RNA, 215 nt
Filed under: Setaria italica (foxtail millet)
Lineage: Eukaryota; Viridiplantae; Streptophyta; Magnoliopsida; Poales; Poaceae
Description: long non-coding RNA (SITA_LNC001290)
Source: RNAcentral